This 1026-nucleotide long non-coding RNA is filed under the name Brassica rapa (field mustard). Its description in RNAcentral is "long non-coding RNA (BRAP_LNC004425)". The record is from RNAcentral. Lineage: Eukaryota; Viridiplantae; Streptophyta; Magnoliopsida; Brassicales; Brassicaceae.
UAGGAUGCAAGGAUUUCAGACAAGUAUCUGGAGCUACAGGUAAAAGUUAGUUCCUAGUUUCUCUCUCUCUAAUUUUCUCUCUUGAGUCAAAGUCUGCUUCCAUUGCAGGAUCAGUGACCAAGAUUGGACAGGCUUCCAUGAAUCAAAACUUAAUGGUGGUUGCCACCAAGCUCUGUUCACUUCUUUUUUACCUAUAUCCAAGAGUUCUUUGCGAAAGCGAGCCUUGAAGAUUACCGCCUCCAAGUCCCGUUUCGAACUCUUUUAUUGGAGUCUUUAUGAAUCAAGCCUUAAUGGUUUUAGCCACCAAGUCAUGUUCAGACUCAUCCUAAGUAAACAAUAGAUCUUAUUAAAAAAAAAUUUCUUUCUUUUUUUUUUCUUUUUUUUUAAUGGAAAUCACUAACUAUUCUAGGGUCAAAAUUUAGAGAGAGAAAAUGUGAUAAAUAAUCUACACAAGGCGUUACCUUCCAGACCUGUCUGAAGAAUCCGAUCCCAUGUAUAUCAAGCCCCAAGACAAGCGGUUAUGUCAGGUUCAGUGUUGGAAAUCAGCUUUGGUUACUUCAUACGGUCAAGGCAAGUGUAUAGUUGAUAGGUUGAUCUGCUUUAGCAUCUAUAGUGCUAUCUGUAAUUAGUAAAUCUAAAAUGGUGCUAAAGAUUGGUUAGAUAUUCAAGUUCAAAUCAAUAUAAGAUUAUAGUCCAUAUUUUCAAUAGCUAAGCAUAAUUUAUUAAAAUUCCUUUUAUAUAAAAAUAAAAUAAAUUAUAUCAGUAAAUCUCCCCCCAGACUUAAAUUACACUGUCCCAGUGUAACUCAACAGGAGUUAUGAUUGAAUAAUUCAUGAUGUACGAAAUGUAACAAGUAAGAGAGAUACAUCUGACCGGAUUAGAUAUCAAUCGAUGGGCAAAUGUUGCAUCGAUCGUCGUGUGUUUGUCUAUGUCGAGCGAUGUCGACAUCUCGUCGGCGGUCGAUAUUCAGGUCCUCCUACUUGGGUCUCCUACAUCUGAAAGAAAUAAAACGAAAGUAAAUAAAUG